CGGUGGAUGCCCUGGCAGUCAGAGGCGAUGAAGGGCGUGCUAAUCUGCGAUAAGCGCCGGUAAGGUGAUAUGAACCGUUAUAACCGGCGAUACCCGAAUGGGGAAACCCAGUGUGACUCGUCACACUAUCAUUAACUGAAUCCAUAGGUUAAUGAGGCGAACCGGGGGAACUGAAACAUCUAAGUACCCCGAGGAAAAGAAAUCAACCGAGAUUCCCCCAGUAGCGGCGAGCGAACGGGGAGGAGCCCAGAGCCUGAAUCAGCAUGUGUGUUAGUGGAAGCGUCUGGAAAGGCGCGCGAUACAGGGUGACAGCCCCGUACACAAAAGCGCAUGUGCUGUGAGCUCGAUGAGUAGGGCGGGACACGUGGUAUCCUGUCUGAAUAUGGGGGGACCAUCCUCCAAGGCUAAAUACUCCUGACUGACCGAUAGUGAACCAGUACCGUGAGGGAAAGGCGAAAAGAACCCCGGCGAGGGGAGUGAAAAAGAACCUGAAACCGUGUACGUACAAGCAGUGGGAGCACAGGUUUACCUGUGUGACUGCGUACCUUUUGUAUAAUGGGUCAGCGACUUAUAUUCUGUAGCAAGGUUAACCGAAUAGGGGAGCCGGAGGGAAACCGAGUCUUAAUUGGGCGUUAAGUUGCAGGGUAUAGACCCGAAACCCGGUGAUCUAGCCAUGGGCAGGUUGAAGGUUGGGUAACACUAACUGGAGGACCGAACCGACUAAUGUUGAAAAAUUAGCGGAUGACCUGUGGCUGGGGGUGAAAGGCCAAUCAAACCGGGAGAUAGCUGGUUCUCCCCGAAAGCUAUUUAGGUAGCGCCUCGUGAAUUCAUCUCCGGGGGUAGAGCACUGUUUCGGCUAGGGGGCCAUCCCGGCUUACCAACCCGAUGCAAACUGCGAAUACCGGAGAAUGUUAUCACGGGAGACACACGGCGGGUGCUAACGUCCGUCGUGAAGAGGGAAACAACCCAGACCGCCAGCUAAGGUCCCAAAGUCAUGGUUAAGUGGGAAACGAUGUGGGAAGGCCCAGACAGCCAGGAUGUUGGCUUAGAAGCAGCCAUCAUUUAAAGAAAGCGUAAUAGCUCACUGGUCGAGUCGGCCUGCGCGGAAGAUGUAACGGGGCUAAACCAUGCACCGAAGCUGCGGCAGCGACACUGUGUGUUGUUGGGUAGGGGAGCGUUCUGUAAGCCUGUGAAGGUGUGUCGUGAGGCAUGCUGGAGGUAUCAGAAGUGCGAAUGCUGACAUAAGUAACGAUAAAGCGGGUGAAAAGCCCGCUCGCCGGAAGACCAAGGGUUCCUGUCCAACGUUAAUCGGGGCAGGGUGAGUCGACCCCUAAGGCGAGGCCGAAAGGCGUAGUCGAUGGGAAACGGGUUAAUAUUCCCGUACUUGGUGUUACUGCGAAGGGGGGACGGAGAAGGCUAUGUUGGCCGGGCGACGGUUGUCCCGGUUUAAGCGUGUAGGUGUGUGUUCCAGGUAAAUCCGGUUCACUUUAACACUGAGGCGUGACGACGAGGCACUACGGUGCUGAAGCAACAAAUGCCCUGCUUCCAGGAAAAGCCUCUAAGCAUCAGGUAACAUCAAAUCGUACCCCAAACCGACACAGGUGGUCAGGUAGAGAAUACCAAGGCGCUUGAGAGAACUCGGGUGAAGGAACUAGGCAAAAUGGUGCCGUAACUUCGGGAGAAGGCACGCUGACACGUAGGUGAAGUGAUUUACUCAUGGAGCUGAAGUCAGUCGAAGAUACCAGCUGGCUGCAACUGUUUAUUAAAAACACAGCACUGUGCAAACACGAAAGUGGACGUAUACGGUGUGACGCCUGCCCGGUGCCGGAAGGUUAAUUGAUGGGGUCAGCGCAAGCGAAGCUCCUGAUCGAAGCCCCGGUAAACGGCGGCCGUAACUAUAACGGUCCUAAGGUAGCGAAAUUCCUUGUCGGGUAAGUUCCGACCUGCACGAAUGGCGUAAUGAUGGCCAGGCUGUCUCCACCCGAGACUCAGUGAAAUUGAACUCGCUGUGAAGAUGCAGUGUACCCGCGGCAAGACGGAAAGACCCCGUGAACCUUUACUAUAGCUUGACACUGAACAUUGAGCCUUGAUGUGUAGGAUAGGUGGGAGGCUUUGAAGUGUGGACGCCAGUCUGCAUGGAGCCGACCUUGAAAUACCACCCUUUAAUGUUUGAUGUUCUAACGUGGACCCGUUACCCGGGUUGCGGACAGUGUCUGGUGGGUAGUUUGACUGGGGCGGUCUCCUCCUAAAGAGUAACGGAGGAGCACGAAGGUUGGCUAAUCCUGGUCGGACAUCAGGAGGUUAGUGCAAUGGCAUAAGCCAGCUUGACUGCGAGCGUGACGGCGCGAGCAGGUGCGAAAGCAGGUCAUAGUGAUCCGGUGGUUCUGAAUGGAAGGGCCAUCGCUCAACGGAUAAAAGGUACUCCGGGGAUAACAGGCUGAUACCGCCCAAGAGUUCAUAUCGACGGCGGUGUUUGGCACCUCGAUGUCGGCUCAUCACAUCCUGGGGCUGAAGUAGGUCCCAAGGGUAUGGCUGUUCGCCAUUUAAAGUGGUACGCGAGCUGGGUUUAGAACGUCGUGAGACAGUUCGGUCCCUAUCUGCCGUGGGCGCUGGAGAACUGAGGGGGGCUGCUCCUAGUACGAGAGGACCGGAGUGGACGCAUCACUGGUGUUCGGGUUGUCAUGCCAAUGGCACUGCCCGGUAGCUAAAUGCGGAAGAGAUAAGUGCUGAAAGCAUCUAAGCACGAAACUUGCCCCGAG
Molecule: ribosomal RNA, 2759 nt
Filed under: Salmonella enterica subsp. enterica serovar Enteritidis
Lineage: Bacteria; Pseudomonadati; Pseudomonadota; Gammaproteobacteria; Enterobacterales; Enterobacteriaceae
Description: partial 23S ribosomal RNA
Rfam family: Bacterial large subunit ribosomal RNA
Source: RNAcentral